AAAACUUUGUUCAGGAGAUAAAAAUCUCAAUCAGGAAUUUGUGUUUUCCUGUGAGCUUUUUAUCUCCAGAGAAAUCUAAGAACUGAAAGUCUAUGAAGUAAUCUGAGAAUCUGGGGGAAAAAGUGAGCUCUUCAUUGUUUGCAAAUUGAUAGAAAAUAAUUUGUGCUUAUAAAAAAGGCCCUUAUUUGACAUAAAGUGCUUUAUUUAUAAAGAAAAAAAACAUGCAGAAGUUGUUUUAGAGACGAUUAUCAGUAAUGAAAGAAGCAAAGGAAGCUUUAAAAAAAAAACAUGAUCUGAAUAUACAUGAUGUUAUCACUAAAAGGUACAUUCUAAUAUAAUGUAAAAUCAUAAAACGAUGCUCACAUAUCAAAGAUAUAAAAACUGGCAAAUGGAAAAACUAUGAAAAUAAGAUUAGUGAAGAAACACAGUUUUGAAA
RNAcentral lists this long non-coding RNA (436 nucleotides) under Bos taurus (domestic cattle). RNAcentral's name for it is "long non-coding RNA NONBTAT011471". Lineage: Eukaryota; Metazoa; Chordata; Mammalia; Artiodactyla; Bovidae. The record is from RNAcentral.